RNAcentral lists this ribosomal RNA (253 nucleotides) under uncultured bacterium. Its description in RNAcentral is "partial 16S ribosomal RNA". It matches the Rfam family "Bacterial small subunit ribosomal RNA", at positions 524 to 776 of the family's 1533-position model. The record is from RNAcentral.
UACGGGGGGGGCAAGCGUUGUUCGGAAUUACUGGGCGUAAAGGGCUCGUAGGCGGCCAACUAAGUCAGACGUGAAAUCCCUCGGCUUAACCGGGGAACUGCGUCUGAUACUGGAUGGCUUGAGGUUGGGAGAGGGAUGCGGAAUUCCGGGUGUAGUGGUGGAAUGCGUAGAGAUCCGGAGGAACACCAGCGGCGAAGGCGGCAUCCUGGACUGGUACUGACGCUCAGGAGCGAAAGCGUGGGGAGCGAUCCGG